ACUACGGGUGGCUGCAGUAGGGAAUAUUGCACAAUGGGGGAAACCCUGAUGCAGCGACGCCGCGUGAGUGAAGAAGUAAUUCGUUAUGUAAAGCUCUAUCAGCAGGGAAGAAAAUGACGGUACCUGAGUAAGAAGCACCGGCUAACUACGUGCCAGCAGCCGCGGUAAUACGUAGGGUGCAAGCGUUAUCCGGAUUUACUGGGUGUAAAGGGCGAGUGGACGGGAUUGCAAGUCUGGAGGGAAAGGCGGGGGCUCAACCGUCGGAGUGCUUUGGAAACUGUAAGGCUGGAGUGCGGGAGAGGUAAGUGGAAUUCCUGGUGUAGCGGUGAAAUGCGUAGAGAUUAGGAGGAAAACCAGUGGCGAAGGCGACUUACUGGACUGUAACUGACGUUGAGGCGCGAAAGCGUGGGGAGCAAACAGGAUUAGAUACCCGAGUAGUC
Molecule: ribosomal RNA, 440 nt
Filed under: uncultured bacterium
Lineage: Bacteria
Description: partial 16S ribosomal RNA
Rfam family: Bacterial small subunit ribosomal RNA
Source: RNAcentral